Molecule: ribosomal RNA, 301 nt
Filed under: uncultured bacterium
Lineage: Bacteria
Description: partial 16S ribosomal RNA
Rfam family: Bacterial small subunit ribosomal RNA
Source: RNAcentral
CAGCCGCCACGGGAAUACGAAGGGUGCAAGCGUUACUCGGAAUUACUGGGCGUAAAGGGCGCGUAGGUGGUUAUUUAAGUGAGAUGUGAAAGCCCCGGGCUUAACCUGGGAACUGCGUCUUAUACUGGGUAACUGGAGUGCAGUAGAGGGUAGUGGAAUUUCCGGUGUAGCGGUGAAAUGCGUAGAUAUCGGAAGGAACACCAGUGGCGAAGGCGGCUACCUGGACUGAGACUGACACUGAGGCGCGAGAGCGUGGGGAGCAAACAGGAUUAGAUACCCGAGUAGUCCCUGUCUCUUAUAC